CUCUUUUUGAUAAUAAUUUAAAGUUUAAUCUGCUCAAUGAAAAUUAAAUUGCCGCAGUAUUUUGACUGUGCAAAGGUAGCAUAAUAAUUAGUUUUUUAAUUGAAAACUGGAAUGAAUGAUUGGACGAAAAAAUUUCUGUCUUUUUAUUAUUUUUAUUGAAUUUUACUUUUAAGUUAAAAGGCUUAAAUUUUUUUAAAAGACGAGAAGACCCUAUAGAGUUUUAUUUUUAAUUUUUUUAUUUUUAUUAGAAUUUAAUUUAGUAAUUGAGUUAAAAAUUUAGUUGGGGUGACUAGUUGAUUAAUUUAACUCUUUUAAUUUUGAAUCAAUUAUUUUUGAUUAUAAAAUCUAUAUUUUUAAUUUUAAAAUAAAUUACCUUAGGGAUAACAGCGUAAUUUUUCUUUAAAGUUCUUAUUAAAAGAAGAGUUUGUGACCUCGAUGUUGGAUUAAAAUUUAUUUUAAGUGCAGAAGCUUAAAAAUUGAGUCUGUUCGACUUUUAAAAUUUU
Molecule: ribosomal RNA, 503 nt
Filed under: Curtos okinawanus
Lineage: Eukaryota; Metazoa; Arthropoda; Insecta; Coleoptera; Lampyridae
Description: partial 16S rRNA
Rfam family: Bacterial large subunit ribosomal RNA (bases 380-503)
Source: RNAcentral